CAAGCGCUCUACCGCUGAGCCACAACCCCAGACCCUUGAAUACUUUUUUUAGCUCAAAUUUCUUUUCCUCUCCUUUCAGAUUUGGGUGGCAUACAAACUAGUUCUUUUUUGUACACACUCUGCUAAUUAUUUUCCAGCCUUUUUGUUCAGGUUGGGUGCUCCUGGUUCUGCAUUCUGCCCUGUUGAGAUUUGAGCCCAAGAGGAGGAGGGAGCCUCUGCCCAGCCCUCUGGAACCCACCCAACCAGCCAGCCUCUCUUACUGUUGCCGGAUCAUCUCCUGCACAAACUGGAUAUCGCUGGGGCAGUAACAGAUGAAGGCAUCAAAACGCUCAGGUACUUUCCCUGGGAGCAGAGCACAAGGUGAUGGUCAGAGCAACAAAGAAGUUGUGAAGGAAACCAGCCAAGAGUUCAUUGCCCAGGCAACCUAGUCCUGGACUCCACACCCAUCCCAAGAUGACAUGACUCAGAGAAAGUGCCUUUCUCAGGAGAGGACAGCGCCCGGAGCCAUCCCACAGGCUGCUGAGGCCUGAGAAAGUCAGCCUCCCACACCCUGGAUCCAAGGCCUCACCGAUGCUGGGCCGAAGCUCCACCAGCACG
Molecule: long non-coding RNA, 597 nt
Organism: Marmota flaviventris (yellow-bellied marmot)
Lineage: Eukaryota; Metazoa; Chordata; Mammalia; Rodentia; Sciuridae
Source: RefSeq, a predicted model, not a curated record